AGCGAACGCUGGCGGCAGGCCUAACACAUGCAAGUCGAACGAACCUUUCGGGGUUAGUGGCGGACGGGUGAGUAACACGUGGGAACGUGCCUUUAGGUUCGGAAUAACUCAGGGAAACUUGUGCUAAUACCGAAUGUGCCCUUCGGGGGAAAGAUUUAUCGCCUUUAGAGCGGCCCGCGUCUGAUUAGCUAGUUGGUUGAGGUAAUGGCUCACCAAGGCGACGGUCAGUAGCUGGUCUGAGAGGAUGAUCAGCCACAUUGGGACUGAGACACGGCCCAAACUCAUGCGGGAGGGAGCAGUGGGGAAUCUUGCGCAAUGGGCGAAAGCCUGACGCAGCCAUGCCGCGUGAAUGAUGGAGGUCUUAGGAUUGUAAAAUUCUUUCACCGGGGACGAUAAUGACGGUACCAGGAGAAGAAGCCCCGGCUACCUUCGU
This 433-nucleotide ribosomal RNA is filed under the name uncultured bacterium. Its description in RNAcentral is "partial 16S ribosomal RNA". It matches the Rfam family "Bacterial small subunit ribosomal RNA", at positions 29 to 506 of the family's 1533-position model. The record is from RNAcentral.